UAUCAACGCAAGUACAUGUGGUAAAUUGUGCAUGUCUUUGUGUAGGUGAAAGGUAGAACCCCACCCCCCUCAAAAAAAAUUAUUUUUCUAUAUUAUGUAGUUUUUACUUUUGGGCUUUAAUCUUCUAAAUUUUAAUUAUAUAAUUAGGCAUUCUGCAUGGCUUAUAUGUGAAUAGUAGAAUAUUACCUUUUAAAAAAACAUGUUCAAUCCAACUAAAA
Xenia sp. Carnegie-2017 is the source of this 218-nucleotide long non-coding RNA. RefSeq lists it as uncharacterized. The record is from RefSeq and is a predicted model, not a curated record. The transcript has 4 exons. Lineage: Eukaryota; Metazoa; Cnidaria; Anthozoa; Malacalcyonacea; Xeniidae.